ACGGCUUUAAAGAUACCUGAAGAAAACCUGCGGAGCCAGAGGUGACAAUUCACUGAAUCUGAAUCACUUUAAUGAGCUGCAACAUAGAAUCCCCAGAAAAGGUGUGUGCUGACUUGAUCAGAGGAGCAAAGGAAAAGAAUCUCAAAGUGAAAAGACCAGCUGGAACGCCUAUCAAGGCUUCGAGAAUCACCACAAGAAAAACUCCUUGUGAAGGUUCUAACACACGGGAUCGUUUCCAGAUGAGAAUCCACAAGUGGCUCACUGACCUCCACAGUCCUUCUGAGAUUAAGCAGAUUACUUCCAUCAGUAUUGAGCCAGGAGUUGAGGUGGAAGUCACCAUUGCAGAUAUUUAAA
RNAcentral lists this long non-coding RNA (354 nucleotides) under Homo sapiens (human). Its description in RNAcentral is "non-protein coding lnc-RGS14-1:1". Lineage: Eukaryota; Metazoa; Chordata; Mammalia; Primates; Hominidae. The record is from RNAcentral.